GGGCGAUAGCAGUGAUAACGCGAGGAUUCGGCCAGUUCCCCCGAGGCGCUGUCCGGCCGUGCUUGUGUGCACCUGCCUACAGCCGUGUCGUACAUCUGUGUGUGUGUGAUGUGGAGCGCGGCGGUGGCGGCGCUGGCGCUGCUGGCGGCGCGCUGCGGCGCCGGGAACAUCACCGUCGUCUCGCAGCAGUUAACGUUCGACGACACUCAUGAGCUGGUAGUGAACUCGUCCGUCGAAUUCAUACUUUCGUUCGCUCCGAACCCGGCGCAGGGCCACCUGCCCAUCCGCGUGUGGGCGCAGACGCAGGGCGGCGACACCGCGCACCCGCUGCUGCUCACCGCGCGCCGCACCGUCGGCGCGUGGACGUGGCAGCUGCCGUACCGCUCGGGGCCGGCGCUGCUGCACGAGCUGCAGCGCACGCUGUGCCCCGACGACAGCGUCGACGUCGAGAGCCUCGGCGACGACUGCGAGGCGGAGGCGGGCGCGGCGGGCGUGGGCGCGCUGACGCUGCACGUGAGCUCGUCGUGCGCCGCGGCCGCGCGCGUGCGCCUGCGCGCCGCCUUCGUGCGCGACUGGCGCCUGCCCUUCCAGUCGUCCACGCCCGUGCAGCUGGCGCAGGGCGCGCCCAGCGUGCACGCCUACCGCUUCCCGCGCGACCAGGACCACGUGCGCCUCGUGGUCGACUCCGCCGACGACGUGUGCGCCACCGUCGCCGUGCAGGACUACUCCUGCCCGAUAGCGGAGACGUUGGAGGACAUAGAGAUCUCGUCGCUGCGCAUGACGGUCACGCGCUCCGGCGGCAUGCAGCUGUCGCGGCAGCGGUACCCGCGCGGGUUCUACGUGGUGGCGGUGGUGCACGCGAGCGACGCGGCGUGCCGGCCCGCGGCCGAGGACGACGACCCCGACUGGCUGUGGGGCGCCGCGCUGGCGGGCGAGGGCGACGCGCCGCCGCCGCACGCGCUGCCGCGCACCAAGGCGCUCACGCUGCACAUGCGCGCGGCGCUGACGCGCGCGCAGUACGCGGCGGGCGUGGGCGCCGCGCUGGCGCUGCUGGCGCUGCUGUACGCCGGCGUGGGCGCGCUGGUGCUGGCGCAGCGCCUGCCGCGCCUGCGCCCGCUCGUCGCGCCGCGCGCCGUGCUCGCCGACAAGCCUGAUGAAGCGACAAGAUCUGAAAUAGACAGCGCGAUGUCCAUGUCGCCGGGGCGCCGCCGCCGCCGCGACUCCACGGCCACGUUCGACAGCAGCGACAACAGCGACACCGACGAGGAGGAGGAGACCGGUACCGCCACCACCGACGUCACCGGCACGCGCUCGCCCACCGCCGCUGCCGUCACUACCGCCGCUGACGUCACCACUGCAGCUGACGUCACCACUACAGCAGACGUCACCAACGCCGCUGACGUCACCACUACAGCUAACGUCACGAACCCCGCUGACGUGACUAGCACAGCUGAGGCAGUUGAUGUCCACGCCGCCGGUAACGGCGAGACGGCGACUGUGGCGCCGCCGCCGCAGUACGCUGACGGCAGUGAGGCGGGCCCGCGCUCCGUCUAUGUCAUAGAGUCCGACCGAGCUCAGCCGACUGACAGCACGUCGCGGCCGUUCGGGCUGCCGCCGCGGCUGAACGUGGCGGCGCUGACGCGGCGGCGCGGGCGCGUGCUGGCGGCGCGCUCGGACCGCUACCUGUACACGCUGUAUACCGUGGGGCUGUUCUACGCGCUGCCCGUGCUGCAGUUCGUGGCCGCCUUCCAGGUGGUGCUCAACGUGACGGGCUCGCUGGACGUGUGCUACUACAACUUCCUGUGCGCGCACCCGCUGGGCGGGCUGUCGGACUUCAACCACGUGUUCUCCAACGUGGGCUACCUGGCGCUGGGCGCGCUGUUCAUGCUGCAGGUGCGGCGCCGCAAGCUGCGCCGCCGCCGCAAGCCGCGCCACGAGGAGUACGGCAUCCCGGCGCACUACGGGCUGCUGUCGUCGCUGGGCGCCGCCAUGAUGAUGGUGGCGCUGCUGUCCGCCAGCUACCACGUCUGUCCCAACGCGCUCAACUUCCAGUUCGACACGGCGUUCAUGUACGUGCUGGCGGUGCUGAGCAUGGUGAAGAUCUACCAGGCGCGCCACGCUGACGUCAACGCGCGCGCCCACGCCACCUUCGGCGUGCUCGCGCUGCUCAUCGCGCUCGUGGUGUGGGGCGUGGUGGGCGGCGGCCCGCUAUUCUGGAGCGUGUUCACCGUGCUGCACGUGUUCACCUUCCUGCUGCUGUCGCUGCGCAUCUACUACGUCGGACAAUUCCGCCUCGAGAAGCAGAGCGUGCAGGAGGCGGUGGCGGCGCUGCCGUCUCGCGGGCUGCGGCCGCUGUACGCGCCGCGCCUCGUCAUGCUGCUCAUCGCCAACGCCGUCAACUGGGGCUUCGCACUCUACGGAGACGUGGUGGCGCGCGCAGACUGUUCACGCAGAGCGCGGACUUCGCGGGGCACCUGCUGUCGGUGCUGCUGUGCAACACGCUGCUCUACAUGGUGUUCUACCUGAGCAUGAAGCUGCUGCACGGCGAGCGCCCGCGCUGGUACGCCUGGCUGUUCCUGGCCGCCGGCGCCGCCACCUGGAUGCCCGCGCUCUACUUCUUCGUGUCCGGCAGUUCCGACUGGUCGGCGACGCCGGCGCAGUCGCGCGAGCGCAACCACGAGUGCCGCGUGCUGCAAUUCUACGACUCGCACGACCUGUGGCACCUGCUGUCGGCGCUGGCGCUCUACUUCACGUUCAACGCGCUGCUCACGUGGGACGACGGGCUCGCCGCCGUCAAGCGCACCGACAUCGCUGUAUUCUAGACUUUACAAUAAACUAUUCAAACGAA
Helicoverpa zea (corn earworm) is the source of this 2848-nucleotide RNA transcript. RefSeq lists it as uncharacterized. NCBI's taxonomy places the organism in Eukaryota, Metazoa, Arthropoda, Insecta, Lepidoptera, Noctuidae. The record is from RefSeq and is a predicted model, not a curated record. The transcript is spliced from 17 exons.